This 532-nucleotide ribosomal RNA is filed under the name uncultured bacterium. Its description in RNAcentral is "bacterial SSU rRNA". It matches the Rfam family "Bacterial small subunit ribosomal RNA", at positions 777 to 1302 of the family's 1533-position model. The record is from RNAcentral.
AAUAGAUACCCUGGUAGUCCACGCCGUAAACGAUGAGUGCUAAGUGUUAGAGGGUUUCCGCCCUUUAGUGCUGCAGCUAACGCAUUAAGCACUCCGCCUGGGGGAGUACGGUCGCAAGACUGAAACUCAAAGGAAUUGGACGGGGGGCCCGCACAAGCGGUGGAGCAUGUGGUUUAAUUCGAAGCAACGCGAAGAACCUUACCAGGUCUUGACAUCCUCUGACAACUCUAGAGAUAGAGCGUUCCCCUUCGGGGGGACAGAGUGACAGGUGGUGCAUGGUUGUCGUCAGCUCGUGUCGUGAGAUGUUGGGUUAAGUCCCGCAACGAGCGCAACCCUUGAUCUUAGUUGCCAGCAUUCAGUUGGGCACUCUAAGGUGACUGCCGGUGACAAACCGGGAGGAAGGUGGGGAUGACGUCAAAUCAUCAUGCCCCUUAUGACCUGGGGCUACACACGUGCUACAAUGGAUGGUACAAAGGGCCGCAGACCGCGAGGUCAAGCCAAUCCCAUAAAACCAUUCUCAGUUCGGAUUGUA